UACAGAGGGUGCAAGCGUUAAUCGGAAUUACUGGGCGUAAAGGGCGCGUAGGUGGUCAAUUAAGUUAGGUGUGAAAUCCCUGGGCUUAACCUAGGAAUUGCAUUUAAUACUGAUUGGCUAGAGUAUGGGAGAGGUAAGUGGAAUUUCCAGUGUAGCGGUGAAAUGCGUAGAUAUUGGAAGGAACACCAGUGGCGAAGGCGACUUACUGGACCAUUACUGACACUGAGGCGCGAAAGCGUGGGGAGCGAACAGG
Molecule: ribosomal RNA, 253 nt
Filed under: uncultured bacterium
Lineage: Bacteria
Description: partial 16S ribosomal RNA
Rfam family: Bacterial small subunit ribosomal RNA
Source: RNAcentral